RNAcentral lists this long non-coding RNA (288 nucleotides) under Physcomitrium patens. Its description in RNAcentral is "long non-coding RNA (PPAT_LNC012787)". The record is from RNAcentral. Lineage: Eukaryota; Viridiplantae; Streptophyta; Bryopsida; Funariales; Funariaceae.
CAUUUAUAUAUAUACACCAUGAGGGAAACUUCAUGAGGGUGUUGAUGAGGACAGAGAUGAGAGAAAGUCCAAGCAACACAUCUUAAUUAAUGAAUGGUUGAAUUGAGGAGUAUGCUGAUGGAUGGAUGGAUGCCACAAAGGGUUGACUUGCAUUAGAACGGCCACAUACAAAUCACAUUCAAUAGCAGUUCCAUGAUUGGGGGUUUCAUUCCCUCUUGAUUGCCACCCACUGUGGCCCCCUAUCCCAUUGUGAACAUAUACAUCCAAUUUUUAUUUAUUAAAUGUACA